CAAGGACUGUGCCGACCUCGAUAUCCACAAGACAGUCAAAGUGGUAAUGUACAUUUUUACAGAAAGAUUGGAAUGAUACCGAUUUGGGGCAAGUAAUACCUGAUGUCAGAUAUAUAACACUAAAAUCACACUGUUUACUCAUUUAAACCAGCGUGCUGAAGCAAUAUUUAAAGCAUGUAAUUAUAGUGACUGAUAAUUAAGUAAAAUUGUUUUUUUCAGGAUGUGAUGAGAAAUGAGAUUAUUUUACAUGUGGUUUAAGAUCUCAGGCUGUUGUCAGCCGUGUAAUUGAAGGUUAUUGACAAGUUGUUCUAUCGCAAUUUAUUGUAUAGAUUCUGAAUAUAAUGCAAAUCUUGAGAAAUGAGACAAUCUAUUCUAAUGGUCCUUAUUAGCUGGUGGGAACAGAAGAAUUGUCAUCUGAAGGAAAGAACAAUACUAAUGAGUUGUCACUGUCUUGGGAUUUGCCUCAAGUCACAUGUGAGAACAGAAGAUGCUGCUGGACAAGCUGAUGCUCCACGCAGUACUUGGAAGAAGCUCAAGACGGGUUAAACAGUUACGAAGGGGCUUAAAAGAGACGCUGAUCUGGCCUUUGCUACCUGAGAGGAAAGACACAAUUCCCUCCUCUUUCCAAGAGCAUGUGAUGUACAGCGCACACCACAGAUGGUCUUGGAGAAGAUAAAGUGUCCAACACAGGAUGACGACGAAGACAGUGACGUCUCUUUGGAGGAUACAUGUCGGACCACAAGAUUCCUUCGCUCAUUUAUUGAGAAUCAUCUGUCAGCAUCCUUGGGAAACUCCUACAGUUGUGGAUAGGAUGGAAUGUGCUCCCCAGACACCAGCUGGAUAUCAGCGUGGUGGAGAGCAACUUCUCCACUUCCUCCACCUGCUUCCACCAGCUGAAGCUUCCAGUACAAAGACUACUGCCACUCUGAAAUGGACCUUCUUGCUGCUACUUGUAGGACACUGUUUUUGGGUUGGUCUAAGGACUCUGUCCAUCAAGAUAACACUUUGUAUGUGCACUUUAGAGCUGCAAUGAAUAGUCAACUAAAUCGACUACGUCGAUUGUGAAAAAUUGUCGACGUGGAUUUUUAACGUCGCGCGUCAUAUAUUUUAUGUCAGAGCUGCCGGUAAUUUUCAUUCAGCAUUGCAAUGCACUACCGGAAGUGCAGGGGGCAGUAUGGCUUACAUUGUCUAUAUGCACCAAGGCAUAGACAUACUUACACCAAGGCAAAGAAGAAGAACGAUUUUGAAUCACGGCGGAACAGAGCUCGACCGAGAGCUUCAAAAGUCUGGGAAUAUUUUACCAGCAAACAAAAUCUACAGCUACAAAUGGGGACUCCUGAACACAAACUUGUCCAAGAUGUCAGUACCAGGUGGAACAGCACCUAUCACAUGAUUAGUCGCCUACUGGAACAGAGGUGGCCAGUCACUGCAGCCCUUUCUGACCCGGCAACACAGAGAGGGAAACAAUACCUGGACCUCAAAAGCGAUCAGUGGACCCUUCUCCAAGAACUGGCCCAAGCUCUCCAGGCCUUUGAAUGUGCCACUGUGUACUUGAGUGGUGAGAGUUAUGUGACAGUCUCUGCACUGCCUCCUCUGGUCAAAGGGCUUCUGAAGUCCACCCACACUUCUUAUGAGACAACUCCUGUGC
Long non-coding RNA from Gasterosteus aculeatus aculeatus (three-spined stickleback), 1648 nucleotides. The record is from Ensembl. NCBI's taxonomy places the organism in Eukaryota, Metazoa, Chordata, Actinopteri, Perciformes, Gasterosteidae.